Molecule: long non-coding RNA, 5950 nt
Filed under: Homo sapiens (human)
Lineage: Eukaryota; Metazoa; Chordata; Mammalia; Primates; Hominidae
Description: HSALNT0120664
Source: RNAcentral
CUCCAGAGUAGCUGGGUUACAGGCACGUGCCACCAUGCCCAGCUCAUUUUUUCGUACUUUUAGUAGAGACAGGGUUUCACCAUGUUGGCCAGGAUGGUCUCUAACUCCAGAACUUGUGAUCCACCCGCCUCGGCUUCCCAAAAUGCUGGGAUUACAGGCGUGAGCCACCAUGCCUGGCCAUCACGUCUUUAGUAUACCUACCAGUUCUUCAAAAAUUAAAAGUGCUGCUUCAUCCAAAUGAGUACACACAGGUAUACACACAUGUAGAACUGCAACGGGUUUUUGAGAUAAUACCCAUGCUACCUGAAAUGCACUCUGCUUUCUAUUUGACUUCACUUUUGUAAAAUGCUGGUCACUGCUUAUUGGAUUGAUUUUACACCCCCCUAUGGGGAUGUAAUCUGCACUUUGAUAAACAGUAGUCUAAAUCAGUGCUUUGCAAACUUUAGCACACACAAGGAUUACAGGAAAACCUUGUUAAAACAGGCUGUUGGGCCCCACCCUCAAUGAUUCUCAUUCCAUAGCUCAGGGUUGGGCCUGGAGAAUUUGCAUCCUAACAAGCUGCCCAGUGAUGUUGCUGCCAUCAGACUUCGGACUCUUGUUUGGAGAAGCACUGGUCUAAAUGACGCUUUCCUCUACAAUCAGAACUGUUGUUUUAAUGCCUUCACCACUUAUCAAGAGACCAGAGCCCCAGCUCUUUAAAAUUUUUCAAAUUUGAAGGUUUUAAAAUACACUAUAUUCCUCCUGAUGCAGUUCAAUGAUAUUUUGACCAAAGGCUUUGGGGGUGCAAAAUUAGUCUGAAUGUAUUGUUAAAGCACUUCACAUUGACAAAAUUAUUGUCCACAAACUCACACUGGAACAGGUAAGCUACUUCUGGGCUUUCAAUAAAAAUGCCUGACCAAUCAGUUUGUUGUUGUCUAGUUUGAAGUUUAGUUGGGGCAAGCCUCUUCCCUUUGUGUUCCCUUACUCUCCUUUGCAUUCCUCUUUCCUCUCUUGGUUUCUCUUUUAAAACUCUGCUGGAUCAGACCUUUGAUGUGUGGGACAGCAAAUUUGCAUAGUGACACCCAUUAGUCCUCUUGGUCGGGGACCACAGCCUCUCUACAGGGCUGUCCUGCAGCCAGCAGUAGCCCUACACAUUUUGCUAAGGUUUUGCCAUCCCACUUUUCCCCUUGUUAUAGGAUUUAAGAGAUGGUUAUGGCUUUGCUUUUUUUUUUUUUCAAGUAAGUGUUCAUACACUACCUCAUCUCUACCAAAAUAGGACUAUAUGUAUAAUUGCCUAUUUUUAAAUAGGCCUAUUUUCCUAUUAUUUUGCUUUUUAAAGAAACAAAUGGACCAUCUAAACAUUAAAAUGAAUCUUAAUACAUCCUACAUAUGUGUUAAUACAUCCUACAUACACUGUCCAAGAUCUUAGUGGUGAUUAGAAACUUACAUCUUAAAUUCAAAAUCUUAGUUUGUAGUAUUUAGGAGUCACAUUGUUGGGUAAUUGUUCAGAAAACAUCAAAAGUUUAUGUAAUGUCUUUAACAAAUUUUUAUCCUCCCUCCCCUGUACUUGUAUUAGUUUUUUAAUGAGAAGCAAAAGACAAGAGCCAAUCAUGACAGGAUUAAAAGUACAUGCCGUGAAGUGGUUGAGCUCAAGCUGGGGUUAGGCCCUGGCUUUGUCUGACACUGGCUGUGGGAUUUAGGGCAAGCCACUUAACCUGGCUAAACCUGUUCCUUCUGUAAAACAUGGAUGAUCAUAUAGCAAUACCAGUCUCACAGAGUGGCUAUGAUUCUCAAAAGAUUCAUUCUCUAUUUGAGAGUACUUUCAAAUGUGUUAAUAGAGAAACAAAUUUUAAUCUCAAUGUUAUUAUCCCUAGCAGAUUGUAAUAAUUUCCAUAUCAUCUCUAGCAUGUUGUGACAUUGUACAGUUUAAUAUAUACUAAUACUCAAUGAAAUUGAUUUUACCAUUUUGUGAAAUUUUAAUACAUUAUUGAUGCAUAAGGAUGUAUUGGUAAUAAUUCGUUAGUAGUAGUUUACUAAUAAGUAUUUACAUCACUGCUAUAAUAAUGAUGAUAGUAUGAUAUGUCAUGACACAUCUAUAUCUUUCCACCAUGGGAUGGAUGGAUGUGUGUGUGUGUGUGUGUGUGUGUGUGUGUGUGUGUACAUAUACUCAUAGAUAGCUAGAUAGAUGAAAUUUGAAAGGAAAUUAUCAUUAAGAUAUCAGAGACUACCUAUUUGAAAUCUCCAAUAUUUAAACUCUUAAACAUUUUUUUUCUUUUGAUUCCACAGGGUAGUUAACACUUUGACUAAAGAGUCUUUGGGUCCUAAAUAGACUUAAAUGUGUCACAAAAGUAUUUCAUGUUAAUUAAUCAAUGACUGGAGCCCUAUGGCUAUGUUUAACAUAGAUUCCAGAAUCAUUUUCCUUUCUAAAAACAGCUUGAGAUAUAAUGUCAGCACCUGCUAAUAAAAAUAAUUUUUGCUUGCCAAAAUGGUAUGUAGUAUUACUAAGAGCUUAAAUAUUUAUAUUGUGUUCUAUUCUCAAUUAAUUCACUUGGGCUUUCAAACGUUGUUUUUUUUUUUAUCUGUAAGAGCCCUAAUUUAAAAACCCUUAAUACCAACCAACCACAACCCAUGAUGCUUUUACUCCAUUAUAAAGGAAACUCUCAGAUUCCAUACAUAGUGUUUUGAAAGGAAUCCAAGAUCUUUACUGGGGACAUACUGUUGAAAAGACAUAAAAUUUAGUGGAAAAAUGUAUCAUGGGGUCGGUACCAAGGGGAUUUUCCCAGCCUACGGAAGUGAAGACUAGCUUGGAGAAAAAAUAGCCCUCUGCUACAUAAUGCAUGUGGUCCCUCCUCCAGUGCAGAUGCACCCUCCAAACUGCCUCCUGUCACUUGCUUAAAUCAUGAAUACUGUACGUGAAUGACUGUUGUACAUGAAUGAUUAAAACGUAUUAUAAGACAUUUUCCCUUACCACUUCCUCCCUCAAAGUUAGUCAAAAGCCCCCGUAAAGGCAAGCCCUACAUUUUAGGACUAGAUUGUUUAAGCCUCCCAAGUACAGGAACUCUAUUUCUGCUUUAUUUUUAACUCUCCAGAGUGCCUGCUUAUAGAGAGCUCAAGGACAAUCUAUAUGCAAGAGACUUUGAGUAACAGCUAUGGCUCGCUAAGGACAGGCAGCAGUGAUUAAUGCAUGUCCGGAAUUACUACCAACUUAACAGACUGUCGUCACCACAUUAAGUUUGUGUGUGAAGUUGGCUGCCUUCUACACUGUUCAGCCAGGGCAAGUUUGUGCAUUAGGGGGCCAAUUCCCUUUGAGUUGCUAUUGAAUGAUCUACGCCCCCAAGUUAGGCCAGGUUGGAAAGGGUAAGGUCAUAGUUGCAGAACUGCCUUUCUUCCACCAUGAGAAGAUAGAGCAACAAGAGCUCCUGGUCAAUUUACCCCACCCUCUGUUUCCCAGAAGUUAGCUGGGCUCUGGCUGAACUCUAGGGAUACAAGUCUAAACUGGGUAGGUUUUGGAACAUAGCCCUGAGCUGGGUCAUACCUGGUGCAGGGAAACAUCGGAAUAACUUAGGACCCCCAAUGGAGAUAUUUUCAUUCUUUAAACAGAGUAGCUGAGCAUCUGGGGAUGUAAAGUUAAACCAACUAAACACCAUAUAGCUUCAAAAACCUUAUAGCUUCUAAUCAAGGGACUUAGAUAGAAAUGAAGAGAUGGUCAGAGUACCAUGUGGUAAAGGCAUACUGGAGCUGACUGAAGGGAUGGGGAUUGGUGAAGGACAAAGAUGUAGUCUGAGAAGGGACGCUGGGCUGAGUCUUGAGAGACUUCUGGCUUCAGCACCCAUAGGCAUUCCAGGCUGAGGGAGCAUGAAGCAAGGGAGAGCUUUGAGCAGCUGAAGAACUUCAAGCAGUUAAUUAUAGCUGGAAUGAAGAGUAACAGGUGAGAGGGUGAGAGAAUAGGCUGGAAAGCUGCAUGUAACCGGCCUGGUGUGCUGAGCUAAGAAGUUGGAAUUCAUCCAGAAAGCAAAAGGGAACCACUUUCCCAAACAGGGAAGUAGCAGGAUCGCAUUUACAGUAUGGAAAGACAACUCCAGCAGUAUUUUGGAGAAUGGAUUGAUGGGAGGGAGGAACGCACAGUGAAGUGGAAGACUAGUCCAGAGGCUAACGUAGUCAUCCAGGCAAGAAGUGAAGAGAACCUGAAUUAGAGUGGUGGUAGGGCAGAUUCUAAAACUCUUGAGAGAGCAGCCACCGCAGGUCUUGGAGGCCAAUUGGAUGUCCUACGUGACCAAGAAGGAAGAGUCAAGGAUGACAGAGUCAAGAUGACCAGGGACAGAUAGUCCCUGGUCCUAGCACUAAGUAGGACUAUGGGGGAAAGAGCACAUUUGAGGAGAGGGAGCUGAAUUCAGCUUUACGUAGGCAGAACAAAACCAGCCUUGUAGUUAUGGCAAGGCAUGGGGUUAGGUUCUGUUGGCUUUAGGCCUCCAGCUGUAUGUUGAAUUUGCACAGGGGUAUGCACAGGUUACCCUAGUCUGGUCCCUCAGCGCACCGGAUUUCACUUUGCUCAGUGUUUCUUGGUGUGGGAAUCACGUCUCCAGCUCUCUCUGUAUGUGUUCACCCUGUGCCUGCUCAGUGCUGUUCUGGGGAUGGACACCCUGAGCACAGGGGUCAACAAAGGAGUGGAGUUAGUGCUCAGUUCAGUUGGAAGGUGACCAAAUAUGAAUGCUGGGUGUGGCAAAUUAAUUUUCAUUGUUAUCACUCCAUGAGCGAGGGAAAUGCAGCCCUUGUUAUUUUCCAACAUAGUCUCCAGUAGAAACAGUUGUUUGUGACACUGAAUUAGUUUGUUAAAAAAUUCAUACCUGAAAAAUUGCAUCAUAUAUUACUUUAAAAGUAAUGACUGUAGUAGGCAGAAAAGUGCUGCCUCUGCCCACCCAAAAAUGUCCAUGUCCUCAUCCCUGGAACCUCUGAAUAUGUUACCUUACUGAAGCAAGAGAGACGUUGUAGUUGUCAAUAAAUUCAGAAUCUUGAGAUAGGGAGCUAGACCUGGGUGGUCUCUGUGGUCCCAGGGUGCUUACAAGAUUCCUUAAAAGUAAAAGGGGCAGGCAGGGUCAGAGUGGUUCAAAGAAACGCUCAAGGCUAUUGUUGGUUUUGAAGCCUGAAGAGGGCCACCAGCCAAGGGAUGCAGGUGGCCUCUAGAAGCUGGAAAAGACAAGGAGAUGGAUUCUCCCCGAGACUCCAAGAAGAACACAGCCCUCCUGACACCUCAAUUUUAGGAAUAUUACAGCAAAUGAGUCUUCUUUGGUGGUCCAGCCACACCAGCCCUUAUACUUCACAGCGUGAGUGCCAGGAAGUCAGAGCACAGAUGGGAGGUGGGGCAUGGAAGCAGUGUUUGUCUUGGAUGAUAAAGAGAUAUAAACAUGAAGGCCAGGUGCGGCGGCUUACACCCGUAAUCCCAGCACUUUGGGAAGAGUGAAGUGGAGGAAGAGGUACAUUCAACUACAGAGGAGGAAACUGAGGCCCAGAGGGGAAAAGUGACUUGAUUGACAAAAAUUGGAUUCUGGUCUUUGUUCUGCCAAAGCCACUAAAUCUGUGUUGCUGAGUCUGCUGUUUGCAUGCAGGAAUGUGAAGGACUGCUCAAGUUGGAGAUACAAAUUGAAGCCAGCCCCAGUUCAAAACUGUUACAAAUGGAGUCUGUAGGCAUGAGGGGCUGACUAUAUAACUCAGAGUUCUCCAGUACUUUACUUUAAUAAAGAACACAAUCUUUAUUAAAGGAUAAGUAAUAAAAAUGUGUUGAUGUGCAACUUAUGGAUCUAUUAUUAAAACUCAACAGUCAUUGCAGCAAUGUUUAGAACUUAAGCAAACAAAAGUUUUGUGAGGGGGCAAUUUUAUCAAUGACAUUGUUUAGAAAUGUUGGUAGAUGGUGAUCAUAAAAAGCAGAUCAAUGUUUUAUUUCACUUGGGUUUUUAAAAAUUAUUUUUAAAAAAUU